AGUAUAUAUAUUGUAUAAUAUGAGUAUGGUAACGGGCGGGUGUUGUGGAAGUGAUGUUUAAAAUAAGAAUUCACAAUGAUGAUUGAUAUUAAAGUAUAGUACUAGUACUUGCAUGAUCAUGUAUAUGCAUUUGAUAACUGUUUGGUUUAUUAUUGAUUGUGUUGUGAUUCUAGAUUCACUGAGUAAAUUAGUUGCUCAUGACUCAUUCGUGUGUGCAGGUAACCCUUAGGCGGGAGACACUUUACUUUUUGGACGGAAGGAACGGACAACCAGCGGUAGUAUUUUGUUGUCCUUGCAACGUACCUUUUGAUGUAUAUUUACUUAAAACGUUGUUGAGCAAUAGGCCAUAGGAUAAAACUAUAACACUUUGUAAGAUGUUUAAAGUAAAUAAAUAAUGUAUAAAAGAUGUUUAUAAAUCACGAGUUCUCAUAUGAUAUUAGUCCUUGUCCGGGACGAACUAACUAUCGAAUAUUGCUUUAUCGGGUUGAAAAGCCUAGAGUAAUAUCCGAUAUGAGCGUCUGUGUUGUUUGGUUGUUGGUUUAAGGCAAUCGGAUUUAUUUCGAGAACCUCGGGUCGACCAUUAGGGAACAUCGACCUUGUCAUUUCCGGUUAUCUAUGAUCGGGGGUGUCACAACGGGUGCUACUGUCGAUCGAUACGGUGCAUUUUUCUUUGCGGAUUGAGCGUUCUAAGUGGGCAUGAUCUGAAAAGAGCAUUGUUUGUUCUUUGUUGCUUCUGGUACUGCUAGACAUGCACCUGAAAAGACAAGAAAUUGUUUUAUAAGUUUUUGCAAGUAACAAAAACCUAAACCUAACUAAAUUUGAUCUAAUGACGAUCGAAGCUCCCCGGCAACGGUGCCAAAUUUGAUAUCACUCAAAUUACCCUAUAAGUGAUUUGUACUCUCUCAAAUAAGAGGUCGAGUUCCAGUACUUAGGGAUCGGUUUCAUGGGGAGCUAAGGCACACAAUAGAUCUACUAGUUAUGUGGUUAAGCUAGACAAACAUGUUUAAAUGUAAAUAGCAAAGUUGUGAGCAAAUAAAUGUUUAUUAAUUGAUUGGGGUUUUAAGACAGAUAUGGAAAACAUUAGACUUAGGGUUUCUAUUCAAACAAUCAUGAUUAUAGAGAUAUAGAUACUAAGCAUAUAUCGGAUAUUUUAGAACUCAAACAAUAAGAACAGUCGAUCAACUUCCAUAUUUUUAGACUAUCUAUCACCAGAUCUAAGUUAUUAGCUGUCGUUUGUUGGUCCUGAGAAAGUGUCGAUCGAUUCCAACAACGGGGUGUCGAUCGAUACACCUUUCAGCCUGUCGAUCGAUUCCAACAACGGGGUGUCGAUCGAUACACCUUUCAGCCUGUCGAUCGAUACAACUAAUGAGUUGUCGAUCGAUGAACCUUCCAGGGAGCGUUGACGCAACAGGGUGUCGAUCGAUACACCUUUCAGCCCGACAUUUCGUAUUUUGGGCGGGAACAAAAUCAUUCCUUCAAUUCGGAACACAAUAUUAAAAAUUUAAUCUUUUAUUAAAUUUGAACCUCAAACCCUAAACUAUAGAACUAAAAAGUUAUAAAAAUUAUAAAAUUUAUCUUUUGAACAUUAAAUCUAAUAUUUUUUUAUUAUUUUAAAGUUUAAGAUUUAGGUUUAGAGUUUAGAGUUAAACUCAGCCGUGACAUAUGCAUAACUCAGCCGUAAAGUAUGCAUAACUCACCUGUAACGUAUCUGAAUGGUAUAAGUCAGCCGUAAUAUUCUUAUAAGUCAGCCAUCAAGUGUAAUUUGUUUUGCGAUGUUUCUUAUUCUGGGCGGGAAGAAAAUCAUUCCUUCAACUCUGAAACUCUGAACAAAAUAUUAAAACUUUAAUCUGUUUUUAAAUUGAAACCUCAAACCCUAAACUAUAGAACUAUAAAGUUAUAAAAAUUAUAAUGUUUAUCAUUUUAACACUAAAUCUAAUAUUUUUAUUAUUUUAAAGUUUAAGAUUUAGGUUUAGAGUUUAGGUUUAUAGUUUAGAGUUAAACUCAGCCGUAACAUAUGCAUAACUCAGCUGUAAAGUAUGCAUAACUCAGCCGUAAUGUAUCUGAAUAGCAUAAGCCAUCUGUAAUGUUCCAAUAACUCAGCCGUCGAAUGUAAUUUGUUUCACGACGUUUCGUAUUUUGGGCGAGAACAAAAUCAUUCCUUCAACUCUAAACACAAUAUUAAAACUUUAAAUCUUUUUCAAAAUUUGAACUUCAAAACUGUAUAUAUACAAUACUAAAAGCCAAAUAUCCUUACUCUUUAGGGUGUCCACGUCACUUAAAAUAUUUUUCCAAUCAGAACAUUUCAUUUGGACACGUCAGACUGGCUUCAAUUACUUAUGGGCUUCACGUUCUUCUUUUAUUUGGAGUGGGCUCCACGUGUAAUCACUUUGAUUUUAAGUGUUUCACGCUUUUGUUAGGCACACAAUAAUGGACCUGAAUUUUCAAAACGAGCCCACAAAAUCAGAAUUGCUUAUAAUGAACUAAACUUCCUACGGAGCCCACCACAAGCUCCUCCUUCGAACUCUCUUCUUCAUAUUUUUUUUUUUUUGAAAACAGCUCUUCGUCUUCUAUAUUGUUCUCUUUUCCACUGCAGAAACAUAACUAUAUGUAACGCUUUCUCCACCAUUGAAAAAAUAUAUUAAGUUUCACCAUUAAGUCACUCCAUUCAACUUUCCCACUACUCGAAUUUAAUUACUUCUCUUCCCAUCUUCUUUGCAAAUCCCUAAUUUUCCAUACCAUAUAUAGUGGUGCAGCCAUCUACAUAUCUCAUUGUUUCACAAGAUUCAUCAUCGUUUCUUCCUUAUAGUGAUGACACGUCUCAUGUAGAGUCAAGAAUCAAAAGAUGAGUGAUACAGAGGAGGCCAUGAAUGAUCUGCGAUGACCUUUCAUACACACAUGAGGGUGUACCGGAUCGGUUCAAGACAAUCAAGUAUUAUGGGUUCACCUCAAGUUAUCAGAUACAGCUCUAUCCCUAUUCUUUCAUAUUCCAUCAGUUUCACUGUAAGAAGAAAAUUCCAAACUUUUUUAAUUUUUUUUAAUUUGUCAAAAGUUGUGACUGAUUUGUAUCUUUUGGGUCCAGUGUAGUCUCCAACACAAGCUGCAAUCACUAAGGAUCUCAGUUUAACUGUUGCUGAGGACCUGAGGUACUUAACCAAUUUUUCUGUCUAGAGCUGUCUGGUUGAUUCUUUGCCUGACUUUGAUAUCAUGUCCAUGUAUUAGUACUCUGUGUUUGGUUCUCUAUCCAACGUGGCUGCUAUGGUUGGUGCAAUUUCCACAGGUCAGAUCGCAUAAGGAAGUUGGACGAAAAGGGGUAUUGUUUCGUUUCCUGAGUAUUAAGCUACCCUGUUCGAAUCUUGAUCCUGCUAAUAACAUAUUCAUUCCUUUACUUAACCCUUUGAUUGUGUGUUUUCUUUGACAGUCCCUCAUGAAUGCUGGUCGGCUUUCAUAUCAUUUGCAAAAGUGAGUUAUUUUUCAGAUUCUUUAUUUGACUUCAGUCUGAAAAUAUUAGAUUGACCUUACAUCAUACUGGCUUCAUAGGAUACUUCUUUAGUAAUUUUCUUUUCAUGGGAAGAGUUUUAGAAGGCUCUGGUGUUGGGAUCAUUUAGUGGAUAUUAGUCUUUAGAUAUGGCUUACUUAGAUCUCAAUGGAACAUGUAUCACUGGCUAUAUCAUUUGUAUAGCUCUAACAUAUGUGUUAUGUUCGGUUAUUACACAGGCAAUAGGUUAAAAGAAGCAUAUGAAAAGGCUCAAUGCUCCAAAACAUUGGAUGCUUGACAAACUUGGUGGUGCAUUUGUAUUUCUUCUCUGAGAAUUUCUGUCUUCUCUAUGAUAGCGAGGGACGUUUCCGUCUUCACUCCAUCAGGGACGUUUCCGUCUUCACUCCAUCAGGGACGAAGAAGCUAAGUAUAAGCUUUGCAAGGUUCGAACUAUCCAGUUCAAACAAAAGGGCAUCUCUUUCCAGACAAACUAUUAAGCUCGGCCUGGAGGAGAACAAGAUUGUUGCGUUCAUCAAGUUAGAUUUCGGUAAUGUUGUGAUGGUGACUGGAGGUAGAAACAGAGGGAAUGUUGGUGUGAUUAGAAACCGUGCGAAGCUUAAGGGAAGCUUUGAGACUACCACCACAUACAAGACUCAACAGGACAUGAGUUUGCAACAAGGUUGAGGAAUGUGUUCACGCUAGGAAAAGGGUCAAAGUGUUGAAUGUGCUUUAUUAAGGGUUUAGGGUGUAAGCUUACCAAAAUAGAAGAAGCCAGGAAGAGGCUCGCUAGCCAACAGACUUUGUGGCUUUGAGCUAUUUAUUAUAUUGUUUAGAUGACUUUUAUUUCCUACACUCACUUUGCUUUUGGUUCGCUUCCAAGCUUUGAAAAUAAUAUGUUUUUUAAACUAUCUCAAGAGUUAAAAAUGGAUCCAUAGAAAAUUUCAAAAUAGAAAAUCUCAAAAUAGACGCAUAUGUUGGUUCGCUGCUCAGUUUUGAAUCUUAUCUUAUUUUAUCAAAAGUUUAAGGGUGUUAAUCAUUUAUGCAAUUAAAUUGAUUUGCAAAUAAUAUAUAUUCACAACUCCAAGUAAAUUUUACUCAUUUUAAAAUCGAAUACAGUAUAUAGAUUCUAAUUAAUAUUUACGAAUUCUUAAUUUUUGUCUUUGUAUUUUAAAUAAAAAAUCCAUUGAAGUCUCUCAGAAUAAAAUAAAAAAACAAUCCCAUAUGACAAACACUUCUUUUUUAAAACACUUAUUAUCAUUUCAGAAAUAAUCAGAUAUAA
This is a long non-coding RNA of Brassica napus (rape), 4754 nucleotides long. RefSeq lists it as uncharacterized. The transcript is spliced from 2 exons. The record is from RefSeq and is a predicted model, not a curated record. Lineage: Eukaryota; Viridiplantae; Streptophyta; Magnoliopsida; Brassicales; Brassicaceae.